Molecule: ribosomal RNA, 477 nt
Filed under: uncultured bacterium
Lineage: Bacteria
Description: partial 16S ribosomal RNA
Rfam family: Bacterial small subunit ribosomal RNA
Source: RNAcentral
AUUGAACGCUGGCGGCAUGCCUUACACAUGCAAGUCGAACGGUAACAGGUUAAGCUGACGAGUGGCGAACGGGUGAGUAAUGUAUCGGAACGUGCCCAGUCGUGGGGGAUAACUGCUCGAAAGAGCAGCUAAUACCGCAUACGACCUGAGGGGGAAAGCGGGGGAUCGCAAGACCUCGCGCGAUUGGAGCGGCCGAUAUCAGAUUAGGUAGUUGGUGAGGUAAAGGCUCACCAAGCCGACGAUCUGUAGCUGGUCUGAGAGGACGACCAGCCACACUGGGACUGAGACACGGCCCAGACUCCUACGGGAGGCAGCAGUGGGGAAUUUUGGACAAUGGGCGCAAGCCUGAUCCAGCCAUGCCGCGUGCGGGAAGAAGGCCUUCGGGUUGUAAACCGCUUUUGUCAGGGAAGAAAAGGUUCUGGCUAAUACCUGGGACUCAUGACGGUACCUGAAGAAUAAGCACCGGCUAACUACGUG